RNAcentral lists this ribosomal RNA (253 nucleotides) under uncultured bacterium. Its description in RNAcentral is "partial 16S ribosomal RNA". It matches the Rfam family "Bacterial small subunit ribosomal RNA", at positions 524 to 776 of the family's 1533-position model. The record is from RNAcentral.
UACGUAGGGGGCGAGCGUUGUCCGGAAUCAUUGGGCGUAAAGCGCGUGUAGGCGGUCCGGUAAGUCCGCUGGGAAAGUCGGGGGCUCAACCCUCGAAUGCCGGUGGAUACUGUCGGGCUAGAGUGCGGAAGAGGCGAGUGGAAUUCCUGGUGUAGCGGUGAAAUGCGCAGAUAUCAGGAGGAACACCGGUGGCGAAGGCGGGUCUCUGGGCCGUAACUGACGCUGAGGAGCGAAAGCAUGGGGAGCGAACAGG